UUCGCAAUGCCCGAAAGGGUGACGAAGCGACGCCGCGUGGGUGAGGAAGGCCUUCGGGUUGUAAAGCCCUGUCAGGAGUUAAGAAAUGUAAGUGCGCUAAUAUCGCAUUUAUUUGACGAAGGCUCCAAAGGAAGCCACGGCUAACUCUGUGCCAGCAGCCGCGGUAAUACAGAGGUGGCGAGCGUUGUUCGGAAUUAUUGGGCGUAAAGAGCACGUAGGUGGGUUUGUAAGUCAGAUGUGAAAGCCUUCUGUUCAACGGAAGAAUUGCAUCUGAAACUGCGAGUCUUGAGUGUAGGAGGGGAGAAUGGAACUUCUGGUGGAGCGGUGAAAUGCGUAGAUAUCAGAAGGAACGCCGGCGGCGAAAGCGAUUCUCUGGCCUAUUACUGACACUCAGUGUGCGAAAGCUAGGGGAGCAAACGGGAUUAGAUACCCCGGUAGUCCUAGCCGUAAACGAUGGGCACUAAGUAGAGGGGUUUU
RNAcentral lists this ribosomal RNA (477 nucleotides) under Candidatus Scalindua brodae. RNAcentral's name for it is "bacterial SSU rRNA". It matches the Rfam family "Bacterial small subunit ribosomal RNA", at positions 365 to 832 of the family's 1533-position model. The record is from RNAcentral. Lineage: Bacteria; Pseudomonadati; Planctomycetota; Candidatus Brocadiia; Candidatus Brocadiales; Candidatus Scalinduaceae.